AUUGAACGCUGGCGGAAUGCUUUACACAUGCAAGUCGAACGGUAGAGGGGGCAACCCCUUGAGAGUGGCGAACGGGUGAGUAAUAUAUCGGAACGUGCCCAGUCGUGGGGGAUAACGUAGUGAAAAUUACGCUAAUACCGCAUACGAUCUAAGGAUGAAAGCGGGGGAUCGCAAGACCUCGCGCGAUUGGAGCGGCCGAUAUCAGAUUAGGUAGUUGGUAGGGUAAAGGCCUACCAAGCCAACGAUCUGUAGCUGGUCUGAGAGGACGACCAGCCACCCUGGAACUGAGACACGGUCCAGACUCCUACGGGAGGCAGCAGUGGGGAAUUUUGGACAAUGGGCGAAAGCCUGAUCCAGCCAUUCCGCGUGCAGGAUGAAGGCCCUCGGGUUGUAAACUGCUUUUGUCAGGGAAGAAACAGCAGCUCUAACACAGUCUGCGAAUGACGGUACCUGAAGAAUAAGCACCGGCUAACUGCGUGCCAGCAGCCGCCGUAA
This 495-nucleotide ribosomal RNA is filed under the name uncultured bacterium. RNAcentral describes it as "partial 16S ribosomal RNA". It matches the Rfam family "Bacterial small subunit ribosomal RNA", at positions 30 to 523 of the family's 1533-position model. The record is from RNAcentral.